GUGGUAAUGCCGGAUGCUCCGGUUGGAUGCAUGUCCUUCCGGGAAAGAUUCCAUCGGUAUGGGAUGGGGUCGCGUCCUAUCAGCUUGAUGGCGGGGUAACGGCCCACCAUGGCUUCGACGGGUAGCCGGCCUGAGAGGGCGACCGGCCACAUUGGGACUGAGAUACGGCCCAGACUCCUACGGGAGGCAGCAGUGGGGAAUAUUGCACAAUGGGCGCAAGCCUGAUGCAGCGACGCCGCGUGCGGGAUGGAGGCCUUCGGGUUGUAAACCGCUUUUGAUCGGGAGCAAGCCCUUCGGGGUGAGUGUACCCUUCGAAUAAGCACCGGCUAACUACGUGCCAGCAGCCGCGGUAAUACGUAGGGUGCAAGCGUUAUCCGGAAUUAUUGGGCGUAAAGGGCUCGUAGGCGGUUCGUCGCGUCCGGUGUGAAAGCCCAUCGCUUAACGGUGGGUCUGCGCCGGGUACGGGCGGGCUGGAGUGCGGUAGGGGAGACUGGAAUUCCCGGUGUAACGGUGGAAUGUGUAGAUAUC
RNAcentral lists this ribosomal RNA (528 nucleotides) under Bifidobacterium dentium. RNAcentral's name for it is "bacterial SSU rRNA". It matches the Rfam family "Bacterial small subunit ribosomal RNA", at positions 160 to 698 of the family's 1533-position model. Lineage: Bacteria; Bacillati; Actinomycetota; Actinomycetes; Bifidobacteriales; Bifidobacteriaceae. The record is from RNAcentral.